Rhinopithecus bieti (black snub-nosed monkey) is the source of this 343-nucleotide unclassified non-coding RNA. It matches the Rfam family "Metazoan signal recognition particle RNA". Rfam says of the family: The signal recognition particle (SRP) is a universally conserved ribonucleoprotein. It is involved in the co-translational targeting of proteins to membranes. The eukaryotic SRP consists of a 300-nucleotide 7S RNA and six proteins: SRPs 72, 68, 54, 19, 14, and 9. Lineage: Eukaryota; Metazoa; Chordata; Mammalia; Primates; Cercopithecidae. The record is from Ensembl.
GCCUGGUACAGUGGUGCAUGCCUGCAGUGCAAGCUACUCAGGAGGCAAACUGGGGAGGAUUGCUUGAGGCCAGAAAUUUUGGGCUGUGGUGUGCUGUACUGAUCAGGUGUCUGCACUUAGUUCAGCAUCAAUAUGGUGACCUUCUGGGAGUGGAAGCCACCAGGUUGCCUAAGUAGGGUGAACUGGGCCAGGCCCAAAAUGGAACAGGUAAAAACUCCCAUGCUAGGCUAGGCAUGGUGGCUCACACCUGUAAUUCUAGCACUUUGGGAGGCCGAGGCAGGCAGAUCCCCUGAGGUCAAGAGUUCGAGACCAGCCUGGCCAACAUGGUGAAACCCCCAUCUCU